RNAcentral lists this ribosomal RNA (484 nucleotides) under uncultured bacterium. RNAcentral's name for it is "partial 16S ribosomal RNA". It matches the Rfam family "Bacterial small subunit ribosomal RNA", at positions 30 to 507 of the family's 1533-position model. The record is from RNAcentral.
AUUGAACGCUGGCGGCAGGCCUAACACAUGCAAGUCGAGCGGAUGAAGGGAGCUUGCUCCUGGAUUCAGCGGCAGACGGGUGAGUAAUGCCUAGGAAUCUGCCUGGUAGUGGGGGAUAACGUCCGGUAACGGGCGCUAAUACUGCAUACGUCUUGAGGGAGAAAGUGGGGGAUCUUCGGACCUCACGCUAUCAGAUGAUCCUAGGUCGGAUUAGCUAGUUGGUGGGGUAAAGGCCUACCCAGGCGACGGUCCGUAACUGGUCUGAGAGGAUGAUCAGUCACACUGGAACUGAGACACGGUCCCGACGCCUACGGGAGGCAGCAGUGGGGAAUAUUGGACAAUGGGCGAAAGCCUGAUCCAGCCAUGCCGCGUGUGUGAAGAAGGUCUUCGGAUUGUAAAGCACUUUAAGUUGGGAGGAAGGGCAGUAAGUUAAUACCUUGCUGUUUUGACGUUACCAGCAGAAUAAGCACCGGCUAACUUCGUG